RNAcentral lists this long non-coding RNA (6409 nucleotides) under Sorghum bicolor (sorghum). RNAcentral describes it as "long non-coding RNA (SBIC_LNC008310)". The record is from RNAcentral. Lineage: Eukaryota; Viridiplantae; Streptophyta; Magnoliopsida; Poales; Poaceae.
UGGAGGUCAUGUCGGUGGGCGCGACAUGAAUUAUCCACCUCUCCUACCUUAGAAGCUUCACCUAGGAUGCUUCCGCUACUCUACACACCUUUUGGAAAUUUAGUUGUUUAUAUUCCAUCAUAUGUUGUAAGUUGAGUUAUAAAUCUUCCGCACUCUGAUGUAAGUUAUUUUUGUAACAAAUGUUGUAAUGUUGUGGUAACUCCAUGUUGAUCCUGUAUGAGAUAAAAUGUGGAUGAUUCGGGGUCCUCCGAGGGCACCCGACAGACUUCUUGAGUCAUUUGGAACUCGUGCAUGCCGAUCACAAGUCUUGGAGACAAUGAUGGGUGCAUGUGGGCCACUUAAUUCAGGAGGUUCUGCCACAGAGUGGUAUCAGAGCUCAUACAUGGAUCUUCUGCAACAUUACUUGUGAAAAACUUCAAAAGGAAUUUACAAAUUAAAAGUUUUUGAGGACAACAACUUGUAAAUGCUCCUUAACUUUUCUUAUGCUUGCUAUUCAAGUUCUGUGAAGACUGUCUGCUGACUCAAAUAGAAGGCAUUGAAAGGGACUUCAAUUCUUCUUCAACAAGCCAAGUGAAGAAUCAAACUACUCCAACAAUGCUUUGUCAAGAGUCUUGCAACAUUCCAUCCAGAGCGAUGAAGAUACUGUAUAAAUAAAGCCCUAUAAUCUACUAACAUGAUGAAGAUGGAGCACUUUCGCCGUUGAGAAAACGUAUAGGGCGAGCAUAUUGCAUACCAUGCAUAACAUGACAAUAUAAUGAUACUUAAAAACCCCUCCUUAUGCUUCAAAAACAGUUAUUAUUCAUUAUAGCUGUUUUAUUGAUGAAUCUCAUCAUGUACCAGCUUUCGUUAACCGAUUGAUAAUCUUUUACUCCAUAAGAUCCUAAUACUUGAUUCUCUUGUUAUGCAUGUGACCUUCCUUGAUUUCAUCUAACUUGACACAUGCUACCUCCUUGCUGUCAUUUGAUGACAUAUGUGUUGAUUGAAUGACACUAUGAUUGUGUCCUCUUAAGGUACCAUGACUUGUAACUUAGGUAACAAUGUCGAAACCUGGGGUCUCCUAUGGCUCGCGACCAUAAGGAAAUACUGUCGGGCGCUCGCUGUUAUCAAAGUCUAUGAUCAUGAUACCUUAUAGACCCACAACUUAGGUGACCUCACUCUUUGGACCAUAUUAUGGGAAUCCAUGCCCAUAUCUCUUUGGAAUUACCUAAAGCCCCUGACUUGGAUAACCAACAUAGGUCAUUGAAAGCUAUGGUAACCGUACUCUAUAGUAGGUACCAUGAUCCGUGAUCACGUUAUAGCGUCGAACCUUGUAGUCUCCUGUGGACUGCAGCCAUAAGGAAAUACUACAGGGUGCUCGUUAAACAUCGGGAUCUCUGGUCAUGCUCCACUAUAAUCUACUGUUAGUGUGCUUUCAUUCUCCUUGGAAGAUCAUUUGGAGAUUCAUAUCUUCGUAUGAAUUCUCUAAAAUUCCUGAUUGAUUACAACUUCUUGUUGAUCUUAGUUGUAAUUCUCGGACCAAUCGUAAUUGUUUUAUGAACUUCUCAGAAGUUAAUGUGCUUGACACAUUUCCUUUUCCAUUACUUACCCUAAGGUUUUAAAUCUCGGGGACGAGAUUUCUUUAAGGGGGAAGGGCUGUAACAUCCCUGAUGUUACGAACACUAAAACUGGAUCAUGUCAUCAUGAGCAUUGCAAAGCAUAUUUGUUAAGCACAUUAGUAUGCAUCAACUUAAAACAAGUUUACUUUGAUUACUUGAGCUUAGGGAAGUAGAGUGUGCUUAUGUGGUAUGUUGGUGCUUGUGUGGUUGCUAAAAACCCUAAGGUGGAAAUUUUCCGAAAAGCUAAGGGGGGAAACCCUGAUUUCUGGAUCCUAGAUUUGUCCCCUUUUGCAUAAGUCAAAAACUAAGCAAAAUUUGAGGUUGAGUUCAAAAGCAAAGUUGUAGCUCUUGGCAAGAUGUACAACUUUGGUGUUUUGAGUUUUUGAAGUUUCAAUACAAAAUUCAAAGUAAUUUUGAAAAUACAGAUUUCCGGAAAGUGUCCCCUUUUCUAAUUUGAAUCUCCAAUUCAAAAUCUAUUUGGACUUUUAAAAAAUGGUCAACAUGAAAGUUGUAGGGCUCAAAAAGUUGAACAACUUUCAUGUUGGGAGUUUUUCAAGUUGUGGAGAAAAAUCAAAAGUAAUUUUAGAAUUUCUAAUCUGCCCCAUUUCAAAAUUGGAAUUUCCCCAAUUUGAGAUUUGAAAUUCAAACUGUUUUGAUUAAAUUCAUCACCUUCCUUUCGAAAUCUGAAUUUGAGUCUUAAAUGAAUGUUGUAGGCAAUUUUGUGCUGCACAUUUCUUGCUUUGGUAGAUUUUUGAGUUUUUAUACAAAAUAAAAAGUAAUUUUAGAAAUAGAAAAGGGGAGGAUAAGAAUGCUACAAUACAUCACCAAUGGGAGCAGGGCACGGCGACCCUGCUCGGUGGCGUUGCUUCCCCACGUCACCUCGAGCAUGGCUGACACGCAGCUGCCUGCUUGGUUGAAGUCACCGUGAUAUGGACGAGUUGAAGGCAUCCUCCACCAUCUCCAAUUCCCUGACCGGCUUUCUUUCUCUCCGGAGCCGGCAGAAACGCCGCUGCCACCCGCCACCGUGGUCAGCCCUCAUCUGUGCUUCUCCACCACUUCUGAGCAGCUUGACGAAGUCGUGCUGAGUCCCCGAUGCUCCCCAACUCUUCUCCUCGCCUUCCCGGCAGCCGGAGCGCCACGUUUUCCCCUAAGCCCCGUCCAGAGUUCCGCCGGUGUCGCUGUUCACGUGGCCAUGCCUCCACAGACCACCUGUGGCCAAGUAGAGGGAACCAGAGGGUGUGCGUGAGUCUAGGUGAACUCCCCCGCUGCUCCACUGCCGCCGACGAGCACUCCAACGCCGAAGCUGCGAUCUCCGACGAGCUGCUCUGUUUCCAGUUCGCGACCAGGGACUUCGCGCGACAAUUUGAAGUUCUCCAGGGGUCUAAUUGCAUAGACCGUGACUCAGGUGAAUAGUGCUAUAAGGACUUGUUUGUAGAUGUUUUGUUGAAUCUUUGAAAAUUCAUAUCUAGAGUUUGGUAGCUCCAAUUUUGGUGAACCAAAUUUUGUUGUGCUCCUUGAAAUGUCUAGUUUUUAUUAAAAAUAUGAAACUGACCAUGUUUUGUAGUAAAAUAAUUGGUUAUGAUUUAUGUCUUUUAAUUAUGCUUAAAAGGAAGAAAUUCAUAUCUAUUGCUGUAUAGCUUCUUUUAAGAUGCAACUUUUAUGGUAGACUAAUGAUCAUGUGUAUGUGCUGUGGUUCAGUUUUUAGAUUCAUUGGAUGACAUAUGAUUAAGUUAUUAAUUUAUCUUGUAUAGUGCUUAUUAAAUAGUUUACAAUUAAACUAAAAAUGAAUAAAUAUAAAAUACAGUUCCUCUGCAUUUAUAUGAGGUUGUUAUAACAUAUAGAUACAUAAUUUAGCUAUGUGUUUGUAUAAAUUGUUGAGUUUCUUAUUUAUCUUGCCGUUACAUGCUUCCUUGUGAUGGAAAUUUAUCUUUUUCAUGGAAAUUGCUAUACUUAUCCAAAUGGCAUGAAAUUUAUACAGUAGACUUUGGAGAACAUAUAUGAGCUGCUGUAGUUUUCUCAGAAUUUACUGUGUACUUUUGAUAUAUGGUUAUUAUUUUGUCUAUUUAUCUAAAUAAAUAAAUAAAGACAUGAAAGGUAUUUAUUUAGGGAUGGCCAUGAUGUUUUCUAGUAUCCCUUUGAUGUAUUUCAACUGUUGGUGAGCUGGGUUUUGCCCAGGUUCAAGUUUGGAACAUAAAUGAAAUAUGAUUUCUCUAUAAUUCAAAUGUUAGUGGUUUCUCGACAAUUUCUAGAGCAUUAUGAAUUGCUCUAGGUAAAUAAUGUUGGAUAUGAAACUUGUCUAUAACAAAGUUGUAUAGAAUUCAUGUAUCUAGCUGGUGUUAAAUUUUGGUGGCAUUUGGCUCUAUAGUUUCUGAGUUAUGCCUGUUUAAAUUUAAGUUUCAGAAAUGGUUUCUUUCUGUCAAAUCCUGGAUCAGUUUCUGUAGUUGUGCAAUUUCGACCUACUAAACUUAUGAAUCCUGCUUUCAUGAUAAAAGAUGAAUUGUAUUAAUUUUCAUAAGGUUUCCAAAAUGUUAUGGAUCAUGAAUUUUGGUGAUCUAGAACUCUGGUUAUAGAUCUAUGAAGCUUAAGGUCUGAUUCUGUCUAAGGUCUGGACAGAAUUGUUUAUUCAUACUGUUUGGCCAUUUUAUCUAUUAAAUCAGUUCUCGAAGAUAAUAACAAAGUUGUAGAAAAUUAUCUAAGCUUCCCAGAAAGUCUAAUAUCACCUUUAUUGGAUGCUUGGAUCUCUAAUUAUGGUUGAAUGAAGUUGCAUAUAUGCUGCUGUCCUGGUUAUGUGUGCAAAUAGAGUUGAUUGUUUUUAGCUAGCCUUUACUUAAAUAAUGAUUAGCUUAAUUUCCAAAUUAGAAUUUGAGUGCUUUUGGGAUUGUGUGAUGACCUGAGGUCAUUAAGGUUAAUGACCUUUGGCAUUUAAUUAUUGUUUGAUGUUAUACUUAAUUACUGCCAUUAAUAUUUAAUUAAGAAUUGAUUAAGAUAAAUAGAAAGCCUAAUCAUUUUAGAUUUUGAUUGAUCUUUGGGAUUGAUUGACAACUAGUGGUUACUUGGCAUGAGAUCUUUACAACCUUGCUUAAUGAAGAUGAUAAAAUUUGUUUAGUAGUAAUCUAUGCUUUGAUAGCUAGAUUAGUUUGUUUCUAUACCAUGAAGGUAAGUUGCACUCGAGGUAGUUAUGUUUGUUGUUAUCAUCCAAGAACAUGUAACAUGUCUUUAUCAUGUCAUGAGCAUUCAUCAUUUUGCGUAUAGUGUCCGUGACCGAAGGAGCGCCCGUUGAACCGAACCCCGAGGUCGGUGCUCCGUUCGAGGAAGUCGGAUCCGAGACUUGGGAAGUCUCUGAGGGUCCCUCUCUGCCCUGCAACCAAGGCAAGCCCCGGAUGCAUUAACCCCUCCUUGGAUGUUUUAAAUCUUUUGUCACUUAUGAAUUGAAAAUGCUGCAUUAGAUAGUUGAGAAUUGGGUUCACCUACUUGCUGCAUUUACUACCUUGAUAUCUAUAUCCUGUCCUUGACACCUGUUUUAUUGUAAAACUGCGUAGCGAUGCUUAGCCCUGCUACUAGAUAGGUUUUCAAAUAAGAAAGUUUGAAGGGUUGUUGUGGGGUACACUUACGAUCAAUGAUGUUUCAAUUUGAGACCGGUCGGUGGACGUGCUCUAAGAAUGGAGUCUUAAAGUAGUGUCUCCGACUGUGUCGAUUAAGGACCGUUCCGUUGAUGGCCUGCUGGGUUGAGAAUUUAUAGUACUAACCGCCUGCCCUCGGUAAGCCCAGUCUUGUGAUCCCUCGACGCGAACAGCUACUCGCGCACUGGGAGUGGAAAGAUGGCGAGAGUAGUGUGUACCCACCUUACGGAUCUGAGAUGACCGGAAAACAUCUAGAUCGGCUGUAGGAUGGUGGAGUACUGUGCUCUCGGGUGCCGCGAACCUGGUCAGAUUUGGGGAGAGCUUGAUUUGGGUUGACAUAUGCAAGAUUUGGUUCUACAUAUGUCGGGUGGUUAGGAACUCCAGCUGGAUUGCUAAGCGAUUCGAAUCGUCGUUGCUCCCCGAUUGGGAGACUCAAUUCCUUCGACCCUCAUCGUAGUUAAAUAUGCAACUAAGUGAUAAAAUGAGAAAGGGGGAAAAUGUCUUAUGAGGUUCGGAUCCCAAUUCCCGGACUCAUAGCGACAUGAAGCUAUGGCCAUCGAUAAAUAAUACUUUAUGAUAGGACUAGGAACUCACGGAUUCGUCUGUGGGGAACAACCAGUUAGACUAUCCUCGAACUCCUCGGCCUCUGCGAGGGAGGAAUUCGUGGGUAAAACUUGAAAAUAAGGAUGCACUAUUAGUAAGCUUUUUACGCAAAACACUUUGGCUCCUUGCUCAGCCACCCCUUGUCUACCCUAAGCCUGCAUCCCUAAGUUCUCCUCUUUUCUCAUCGGGUAAGUCUUGUUGAGUACUUUUGUACUCAGGGUUUUAUAACCCCUGUUGCAGGUGCUGACUUAGUCUGCUAAUGGAGGUCAUGUCGGUGGGCGCGACAUGAAUUAUCCACCUCUCCUACCUUAGAAGCUUCACCUAGGAUGCUUCCGCUACUCUACACACCUUUUGGAAAUUUAGUUGUUUAUAUUCCAUCAUAUGUUGUAAGUUGAGUUAUAAAUCUUCCGCACUCUGAUGUAAGUUAUUUUUGUAACAAAUGUUGUAAUGUUGUGGUAACUCCAUGUUGAUCCUGUAUGAGAUAAAAUGUGGAUGAUUCGGGGUCCUCCGAGGGCACCCGACAGACUUCUUGAGUCAUUUGGAACUCGUGCAUGCCGAUCACAAGUCUUGGAGACAAUGAUGGGUGCAUGU